GGACCCUUACUUCCAGGAAGACC
Molecule: non-coding RNA, 23 nt
Filed under: Mus musculus (house mouse)
Lineage: Eukaryota; Metazoa; Chordata; Mammalia; Rodentia; Muridae
Source: RNAcentral